This 221-nucleotide long non-coding RNA is filed under the name Lathyrus oleraceus (garden pea). RNAcentral's name for it is "Pisum sativum (pea) long non-coding RNA (PSAT_LNC027869)". Lineage: Eukaryota; Viridiplantae; Streptophyta; Magnoliopsida; Fabales; Fabaceae. The record is from RNAcentral.
AGAAAUGUGCGAUAAAAACGUAAUUGGAAGAGAAAAUAAUAAAAUAAAAAUAAAAAGAUGAAAAAGAAAUAACAUAAAAGAUUAGUGAUUAGAAUAUAAGAGGUGAGAUGUACAUGACAAAGAAGAUGAAAAAACAAUAACAUAAAAAUAAAAAAUAUGAAAAAGAAAUAACAUAAAAGAUUAGAGAUUAGAGUAUAAGAGGUGAGACGUACAUGACAAAG